CUUCAUGUCACUAGGGCUCUUUACCUUAUGGUAUUUGUAGGCUUACUAUCGCUAUGGUCAUUUCUAGGUGUUUCUCAGCCUCCUACAUGCCUACCUCUUUAGUAAUACUACCACCUGCCCACUUUCACUGUAUUUAGCAAUCAGUUCCAUUAUAGCAGGUGUAUAUUCCAACCCUAUCCAGUUAAGUCCCUUUUGUGGCUUUAUUUGACGAUUUCCG
This is a non-coding RNA of Pelobates cultripes (western spadefoot toad), 217 nucleotides long. The record is from the annotation of a GenBank genome assembly. NCBI's taxonomy places the organism in Eukaryota, Metazoa, Chordata, Amphibia, Anura, Pelobatidae.